GACGAACGCUGGCGGCGUGCUUAACACAUGCAAGUCGAACGGAAAGGCCUGCUUUCCCUUGUGGAUUGCGGGUACUCGAGUGGCGAACGGGUGAGUAACACGUGAGUGAUCUGCCCCCAACUUGGGUAUAAGCCUGGGAAACUGGGUCUAAUUCCCGAUAGGACUGCAGGGUGGUGCCUGUGGUGGAAAACGAUUUUCUAGUGGUUGGGGAUGAGCUCGCGGCCUAUCAGCUUGUUGGUGGGGUAAUGGCCUACCAAGGCGGCGACGGGUAGCCGGCCUGAGAGGGUGGACGGCCGAAUUGGGACUGGGUUCCGGCCCAGACUCCUACGAGAGGCAGCAGUGGGGAAUAUUGCACAGUGGGCGGGAGCCUGAUGCAGCGACGCCGCGUGGGGGAUGACGGCCUUCGGGUUGUAAACUCCUUUCGACCGCGAGGAAGCCACCUGGUUGGAAGGGUGGUGACGGUAGUGGUAGAAGAAGCACCGGCUAACUACGUG
RNAcentral lists this ribosomal RNA (494 nucleotides) under uncultured bacterium. RNAcentral's name for it is "partial 16S ribosomal RNA". It matches the Rfam family "Bacterial small subunit ribosomal RNA", at positions 28 to 507 of the family's 1533-position model. The record is from RNAcentral.